Molecule: ribosomal RNA, 1429 nt
Filed under: uncultured organism
Description: SSU rRNA
Rfam family: Bacterial small subunit ribosomal RNA
Source: RNAcentral
CGGCUUAACACAUGCAAGUCGAGGGGCAGCAUCUCUUUUUGCUUGCAAACUGGAGAUGGCGACCGGCGCACGGGUGAGUAACACGUAUCCAACCUGCCGAUAACUCGGGGAUAGCCUUUCGAAAGAAAGAUUAAUACCCGAUGGUAUAAUCAGACCGCAUGGUCUUGUUAUUAAAGAAUUUCGGUUAUCGAUGGGGAUGCGUUCCAUUAGGCAGUUGGUGAGGUAACGGCUCACCAAACCUUCGAUGGAUAGGGGUUCUGAGAGGAAGGUCCCCCACAUUGGAACUGAGACACGGUCCAAACUCCUACGGGAGGCAGCAGUGAGGAAUAUUGGUCAAUGGGCGCAGGCCUGAACCAGCCAAGUAGCGUGAAGGAUGACUGCCCUAUGGGUUGUAAACUUCUUUUAUAUGGGAAUAAAGUUUUCCACGUGUGGAAUUUUGUAUGUACCAUAUGAAUAAGGAUCGGCUAACUCCGUGCCAGCAGCCGCGGUAAUACGGAGGAUCCGAGCGUUAUCCGGAUUUAUUGGGUUUAAAGGGAGCGUAGGUGGACAGUUAAGUCAGUUGUGAAAGUUUGCGGCUCAACCGUAAAAUUGCAGUUGAUACUGGCUGUCUUGAGUACAGUAGAGGUGGGCGGAAUUCGUGGUGUAGCGGUGAAAUGCUUAGAUAUCACGAAGAACUCCGAUUGCGAAGGCAGCUCACUGGACUGCAACUGACACUGAUGCUCGAAAGUGUGGGUAUCAAACAGGAUUAGAUACCCUGGUAGUCCACACAGUAAACGAUGAAUACUCGCUGUUUGCGAUAUACAGUAAGCGGCCAAGCGAAAGCAUUAAGUAUUCCACCUGGGGAGUACGCCGGCAACGGUGAAACUCAAAGGAAUUGACGGGGGCCCGCACAAGCGGAGGAACAUGUGGUUUAAUUCGAUGAUACGCGAGGAACCUUACCCGGGCUUAAAUUGCAUUUGAAUAAUCUGGAAACAGGUUAGCCGCAAGGCAAAUGUGAAGGUGCUGCAUGGUUGUCGUCAGCUCGUGCCGUGAGGUGUCGGCUUAAGUGCCAUAACGAGCGCAACCCUUAUCUUUAGUUACUAACAGGUCAUGCUGAGGACUCUAGAGAGACUGCCGUCGUAAGAUGUGAGGAAGGUGGGGAUGACGUCAAAUCAGCACGGCCCUUACGUCCGGGGCUACACACGUGUUACAAUGGGGGGUACAGAAGGCAGCUACCUGGUGACAGGAUGCUAAUCCCAAAAGCCUCUCUCAGUUCGGAUCGAAGUCUGCAACCCGACUUCGUGAAGCUGGAUUCGCUAGUAAUCGCGCAUCAGCCAUGGCGCGGUGAAUACGUUCCCGGGCCUUGUACACACCGCCCGUCAAGCCAUGAAAGCCGGGGGUACCUGAAGUACGUAACAGGGAGGAGCGCCCUAGGGUAAAACUGGUGACU